RNAcentral lists this long non-coding RNA (448 nucleotides) under Callithrix jacchus (white-tufted-ear marmoset). RNAcentral's name for it is "lncRNA (ENSCJAG00000083119.1)". Lineage: Eukaryota; Metazoa; Chordata; Mammalia; Primates; Cebidae. The record is from RNAcentral.
UCAUGAUGUUAGAAAUUUCUGGGAUUCAGUUUCCUGAAAUGAAAUGGUUCAUGAAUGCCAUUAAAGUGCUUCUGGGAGCUGAACCUGCCUUUGAAUGGAGCCUUUUCCUGUGGAAACAUGGUUUGGUGACAAGGUUGGGACACCUUGAGCAAGCCUUUCUGCUGGGCUAACUGGAGGAUGUGUAGCCGUCUCUGGUCAGAGAAGAAGCCCUAUUUGCUGAAGUCUUUCUUCAACACUUUGACUCGGCCAUCCUCCCCCUCCCCAAACCUGCUGAAGACCCAGAAAAUCUCCCAGACUCUCCCAUUGCUGGUGACCGCAUCCACCAUCAGAGCCUCUGCUGGGCUGAAACACCAGAAGUUGGAAAACAACACAAGAAAGCCAUGGUAAGUGAUAACAACUAAAAUACAUCACUAUCACUUUUGGAAUAGAGUAUCAUAUUAUUAACUGG